UGGGCUUUCUCCCUGUUUUCUCUGGAG
Molecule: non-coding RNA, 27 nt
Filed under: Rattus norvegicus (Norway rat)
Lineage: Eukaryota; Metazoa; Chordata; Mammalia; Rodentia; Muridae
Source: RNAcentral